RNAcentral lists this ribosomal RNA (205 nucleotides) under uncultured bacterium. Its description in RNAcentral is "partial 16S ribosomal RNA". It matches the Rfam family "Bacterial small subunit ribosomal RNA", at positions 1296 to 1500 of the family's 1533-position model. The record is from RNAcentral.
GACUGCAGCCUGCAACCCGGCUGCACGAAGCCGGAAUCGCUAGUAAUCGCAGAUCAGCAUGCUGCGGUGAAUACGUUCCCGGGCCUUGUACACACCGCCCGUCACACCAUGGGAGUCGGUAACACCCAAAGUUGGUAGUCUAACCGCAAGGAGGACGCCGCCUAAGGUGGGAUUGAUGACUGGGGUGAAGUCGUAACAAGGUACC